CCUACGGGAGGCUGCAGUGGGGAAUAUUGGACAAUGGGCGAAAGCCUGAUCCAGCCAUGCCGCGUGUGUGAAGAAGGCCUUCGGGUUGUAAAGCACUUUCAGUGGGGAAGAAAGCCUUGGGGCUAAUACCCUCGAGGAAGGACAUCACCCACAGAAGAAGCACCGGCUAACUCCGUGCCAGCAGCCGCGGUAAUACGGAGGGUGCUAGCGUUAAUCGGAAUUACUGGGCGUAAAGCGCGCGUAGGCGGUCUGAUAAGCCGGUUGUGAAAGCCCCGGGCUCAACCUGGGAACGGCAUCCGGAACUGUCAGGCUAGAGUGCAGGAGAGGAAGGUAGAAUUCCCGGUGUAGCGGUGAAAUGCGUAGAGAUCGGGAGGAAUACCAGUGGCGAAGGCGGCCUUCUGGACUGACACUGACGCUGAGGUGCGAAAGCGUGGGUAGCAAACAGGAUUAGAUACCCGAGUAGUC
RNAcentral lists this ribosomal RNA (465 nucleotides) under Vreelandella stevensii. RNAcentral's name for it is "partial 16S ribosomal RNA". It matches the Rfam family "Bacterial small subunit ribosomal RNA", at positions 338 to 795 of the family's 1533-position model. Lineage: Bacteria; Pseudomonadati; Pseudomonadota; Gammaproteobacteria; Oceanospirillales; Halomonadaceae. The record is from RNAcentral.